This 185-nucleotide non-coding RNA is filed under the name Apocalathium aciculiferum. The record is from RNAcentral. Lineage: Eukaryota; Dinophyceae; Thoracosphaerales; Thoracosphaeraceae.
CUUUUCAUAUUCCUUUUGGUAUCUUCCUUUCUUGCUUCCUGUCUUUUGCUCUGUCACUAGGUUGUAAAGGAAAUGAAAGGGAAUUAUAUGCUCUAUGUAAAAGCCCUUAAGAUAAAGAAACUAAAGAUAUUUCUAAUCACCGUUGUUAUGUCUUACUAUCCUAAAGUCAAAAGCAAGUAACAAAG